Trifolium pratense (red clover) is the source of this 589-nucleotide long non-coding RNA. RefSeq lists it as uncharacterized. Lineage: Eukaryota; Viridiplantae; Streptophyta; Magnoliopsida; Fabales; Fabaceae. The transcript is spliced from 2 exons. The record is from RefSeq and is a predicted model, not a curated record.
ACUAAUCAAAGACAAUAAUAUACUACCAAAAAUACUGAAUUGUCCCUCUCACCCUUAAUUUUUUUGUUUUUGUUGUGUUGAAUAAGUGGGGGUAUUACUGUCAUAUUUGGCAUAAAAUUGUAUCCAUCCUCCUCACAGAAAAAUUACAACUCUACCGAAAAUGCCCUUUUGCAACUUUUAUGCCUUCUCAACUCACAAAAUUUAAAAUCCUCAUCAUAGAAGUAUUAGAAAGCAAAUUCAAAUAUGAAGGGUGUUUUUGGUAUUGCAUAAUAGAUUUACACACUGAUCAAGAUCAGUUUGAUGGGACAAAAUGGAGUUUGAAGUAGUAUUGUAUUGCCUUUUAGGAAGACAAGUACAAUCACCUUUUUCAUAAACUUUUCUUCUUUGUUUUUCUUCUUUUCUUCUUUGCUGAGAAGAAAUGAUGCAAGACAAACAUCAAAAGGUUUUAUUUUUCUAUUACCCACUCAUGUCUUUCUCCAUUCUAUUUUAUAGUUGAUUCACUGAUUCAUUCUCCUUCUGAUUUUUUUGUAAUUUUUUAUUUUUAUUUUUUUAGAAGCAAGCAAUAUCCAUGGAGACUGACAAGACCAAG